This 301-nucleotide ribosomal RNA is filed under the name uncultured bacterium. RNAcentral's name for it is "partial 16S ribosomal RNA". It matches the Rfam family "Bacterial small subunit ribosomal RNA", at positions 509 to 807 of the family's 1533-position model. The record is from RNAcentral.
CAGCAGCCGCGGUAAUACGUAGGUGGCAAGCGUUGUCCGGAAUUAUUGGGCGUAAAGGGCUCGCAGGCGGUUUCUUAAGUCUGAUGUGAAAGCCCCCGGCUCAACCGGGGAGGGUCAUUGGAAACUGGGAAACUUGAGUGCAGAAGAGGAGAGUGGAGUUCCACGUGUAGCGGUGAAAUGCGUAGAGAUGUGGAGGAACACCAGUGGCGAAGGCGACUCUCUGGUCUGUAACUGACGCUGAGGAGCGAAAGCGUGGGGAGCGAACAGGAUUAGAUACCCCGGUAGUCCCUGUCUCUUAUAC